CCUACGGGUGGCAGCAGUGGGGGAUAUUGCACAAUGGGGGAAACCCUGAUGCAGCGACGCCGCGUGUGGGAAGACGGUCCUCUGGAUUGUAAACCACUGUCCCCAGGGACGAAGAUGACGGUACCUGGGGAGGAAGCUCCGGCUAACUACGUGCCAGCAGCCGCGGUAAACCGUAGGGAGCAAGCGUUGUCCGGAAUUACUGGGUGUAAAGGGAGCGUAGGCGGGUUGGCAAGUUGGGUGUUAAAUCUACCGGCUAAACUGGUAGUCGCACUCAAAACUGCUAUUCUUGAGUGAAGUAGAGGCAGGCGGAAUUCCUGGUGUAGCGGUGAAAUGCGUAGAUAUUAGGAGGAACACCAGUGGCGAAGGCGGCCUGCUGAGCUUUUACUGACGCUGAGGCUCGAAAGUGUGGGGAGCAAACAGGAUUAGAUACCCCUGUAGUC
Molecule: ribosomal RNA, 440 nt
Filed under: uncultured bacterium
Lineage: Bacteria
Description: partial 16S ribosomal RNA
Rfam family: Bacterial small subunit ribosomal RNA
Source: RNAcentral